This 253-nucleotide ribosomal RNA is filed under the name uncultured prokaryote. Its description in RNAcentral is "partial 16S ribosomal RNA". It matches the Rfam family "Bacterial small subunit ribosomal RNA", at positions 524 to 776 of the family's 1533-position model. The record is from RNAcentral.
UACAGAGGUGGCAAGCGUUGUUCGGAAUUACUGGGCGUAAAGGGCGCGUAGGCGGCCUUGUAAGUCUCGUGUGAAAGCCCUCGGCUUAACUGAGGAUCUGCACGGGAUACUGCGAGGCUUGAGUUCGGGAGAGGAAAGCGGAAUUCCGGGUGUAGCGGUGAAAUGCGUAGAUAUCCGGAGGAACACCAGUGGCGAAGGCGACACGCUGGGCCGUACCUGACGCUAAAGCGCGACAGCAUGGGGAGCAAACGGG